AGGGAUGUAGCUCAGGGGGGAGAGCGCCUCGUUUACACCGAGGAGGCCGGCAGUUCGAAACUGUCCAUCCCUA
Molecule: transfer RNA, 73 nt
Filed under: Chloroflexota bacterium
Lineage: Bacteria; Bacillati; Chloroflexota
Description: tRNA-Val
Rfam family: tRNA
About the family: Transfer RNA (tRNA) molecules are approximately 80 nucleotides in length. Their secondary structure includes four short double-helical elements and three loops (D, anti-codon, and T loops).
Source: RNAcentral